Molecule: ribosomal RNA, 253 nt
Filed under: uncultured bacterium
Lineage: Bacteria
Description: partial 16S ribosomal RNA
Rfam family: Bacterial small subunit ribosomal RNA
Source: RNAcentral
UACGUAGGGUGCGAGCGUUAAUCGGAAUUACUGGGCGUAAAGCGUGCGCAGGCGGUUCGCCAAGUCAGGUGUGAAAUCCCCGGGCUUAACCUGGGAAUUGCGCUUGAAACUAGCGGGCUUGAGUGUGGCAGAGGGGGGUGGAAUUCCACGUGUAGCAGUGAAAUGCGUAGAGAUGUGGAGGAACACUGAUGGCGAAGGCAGCCCCCUGGGUCAACACUGACGCUCAUGCACGAAAGCGUGGGGAGCAAACAGG